CGCGCGGCGAAUCAGAGAGCGGGGACCCUCGCAGCCUUGCCAGUGUCCAAUCCCGGGUGAGCGCAGGUAGUUGCCUAGCCAAUCAGGAGGACGGGGGGCUCCAUCGCAGGACAGAGUGCAGAACAGCCAAUCAGAAGGAUUGCAAACUGUGCCGCCACACCCACGACAUUUUCAGGUAGCCCUGGAGUUAGGUUCUGCCAGAGCCCCGAUGCAGACAGGACCGCUGCUGUGUGCAACUGUGAUAGGCCUCCACCCACCAGAGCCCCGCCUCAGAUCGCUCGCUGCUGCAGUGCUUCUAAAGGCAGCUCAUGCCUGAAGCUCCUCUAAACACACUGGAAACAAACAUGGCAGAGUGUUAAUUGCCAACUCAAGACAGGAACUCUCGCUGAACCCAGAUUUGUGAUUCAGCUAACCUGGCUGGCUGGCCUUCAUGGCCCUAAGGAUCUCUGCUCCAGCUGGAAUUACGCUGCCACAUCAGGAUGCUGGGGACAGAAUUCCCACGGCAAGCACUUUAUCUACCCCAUGCCCAGUCCCCCGCCCUUAAAAAACUUUUUCCAGACAGGGUUUCUGUGUAACCCUAGUUGGCCUAGAACUCACUCUGUAGACCAGACUGGACUUAAACCCAUAGAAAUCCUCCUGCCUCUGCUGCCUGAAAGCUGGGAUUAAAGGCGUGCACCACCCAAUAGCUGUAUAUUGGCUGUUUUUCUGUCAACUUGACAGAAACUAGUCAUCAGAGAGGAGGGAGCCUCAACAGAGAAAAUGCCUCCAUAAAAUGGGGCUGUAGGCAAGCCUGGAGGGCAUUUUCUUAGAUGGGGAGGGCCCAGUCCAUUGAUGGUGGGCCAUCCCUGGACUGGUGGUUCUGGGUUCUAUACAAAAGCAGGCCGAGCGAGCCAGUAAGGAACACCCAUCAAUAGCCUCUGCCUCGGCUCCUGCCUCCAGGUUCUGCCCUCACUGCUUUUAAUGAUGAACUAUUAUAAGGAACUGAGAGUGAUGCUGGGUGGUGGUGGCGCAUGCCUUUAAUCCCAACACUCAGAAGGCAGAGGCAGGCAGAUCUCUGAGUUCGAGGCCAGCUUGGUCUAUAGAGUGAGCUCCAGAACAGCUUCCAA
Peromyscus maniculatus bairdii (prairie deer mouse) is the source of this 1106-nucleotide non-coding RNA. The record is from RefSeq and is a predicted model, not a curated record. Lineage: Eukaryota; Metazoa; Chordata; Mammalia; Rodentia; Cricetidae.